UACGUAGGGUGCGAGCGUUGUCCGGAAUUAUUGGGCGUAAAGAGCUCGUAGGCGGUUUGUUGCGUCUAUCGUGAAAACCUGCAGCUUAACUGUGGGCUUGCGGUGGAUACGGGCAGACUUGAGUUCGGUAGGGGAGACCGGAAUUCCUGGUGUAGCGGUGAAAUGCGCAGAUAUCAGGAGGAACACCGGUGGCGAAGGCGGGUCUCUGGGCCGAUACUGACGCUGAGGAGCGAAAGCGUGGGGAGCGAACAGG
This 253-nucleotide ribosomal RNA is filed under the name uncultured bacterium. Its description in RNAcentral is "partial 16S ribosomal RNA". It matches the Rfam family "Bacterial small subunit ribosomal RNA", at positions 524 to 776 of the family's 1533-position model. The record is from RNAcentral.